AAAAGUUCUCCCAAGUCACCAGAUCCUAACUCAAACCUGUCUUAAAGCCCAAAAACUUUCAAAACAACACUGUUUUCUUUUGCAAAAUUUUUUUGGUAGGGCUAAAGGAAUGGGGAGAUGAGGAUGUACUAAAGAUACACUAUACUGGUGACUCGUCAGACACAUGCAUUUUCUAAAACACUCUAACUAAAAGCAAAAUAAAAUAAAGUAAAUAACUAAAAAG
This 223-nucleotide long non-coding RNA is filed under the name Lathyrus oleraceus (garden pea). Its description in RNAcentral is "Pisum sativum (pea) long non-coding RNA (PSAT_LNC021303)". Lineage: Eukaryota; Viridiplantae; Streptophyta; Magnoliopsida; Fabales; Fabaceae. The record is from RNAcentral.